This is a long non-coding RNA of Maniola jurtina (meadow brown), 114 nucleotides long. RefSeq lists it as uncharacterized. The transcript has 4 exons. The record is from RefSeq and is a predicted model, not a curated record. NCBI's taxonomy places the organism in Eukaryota, Metazoa, Arthropoda, Insecta, Lepidoptera, Nymphalidae.
AAACGGGAUGGCCCAUGAAUUUUACAUUUAAAGACUAAAUUUUAGUGCACGCUACAAAUCUGACAAUAGGUUUACGAUUAGCAGCUAAAAUCACGAGCCUAUUUGUUUAAAAUU